AUGGGUCCCAAAUCACCCCAUAGAUCCCAGCCCCACAUCUGUGAGUCCCACAGCCCCCCACAGAUCCCAGCCCCACAUCUGUGGGUCCCGACCCACAUCCAUGGGUCCCACACCCCCCCCAGAUCCCAGCCCCNNNNNNNNNNNNNNUCUAUGGGUCCCACGUCGCCCCACAGAUCCCAGCCCCACAUCUGUGGGUCCCGCCCCACAUCUCCCCACAGAUCCCAGCCCCACAUCUAUGGGUCCCACAUCACCCCACAGAUCCCAGCCCCACAUCUCUGGGUCCCAGCUCCACAUCUGUGCCCCACACCCUCCAACAGAUCCCAGCCCCACAUCUGUGGGUCCCAACCCCAUAUCUGUGGGUAUCACCCCACAUCACCCCCCAGAUCCCAGCCCCACAUCUGUGGGUCUGCCCCACAUCUAUGGGUCCCAAAUCACCCCAUAGAUCCCAGCCCCACAUCUGUGGGUCCCACACCUCCCCACAGAUCGCAGCCCCACAUCUGUGGAUCCCAGCCCCACAUCUAUGGGUCCCACCCACCCCCCCACACACCUCAGCCCCACAUCUAUGGGUCCCACCCCCCCACACAGAUCGCAGCCCCACAUCUGUGGGUCCCAACCCACAUCCAUGGGUCCCACACCCCCCCCAGAUCCCAGCCCCACAUCUAUGGGUCCCACCCCAAAUCUGUGGGUCCCACAUCUCCCCACAGAUCCCAGCCCCACAUCUGUGGGUCCCACCCCAAAUCUAUGGGUCCCACAUCUCCCCACAGAUCGCAGCCCCACAUCUGUGGGUCCCACCCCACAUCUAUGGGUCCCACAACCCCCCCGAUCCCAGCCCCACAUCUGUGGGUCCCACCCCACAUCUAUGCGCCCCAUGCCACCCCACAGAUCCCAGCCCCACAUCUAUGGGUCCCAGCCCCACAUCUGUGGGUCCCACAUCACCCCAUAGAUCGCAGCCCCACAUCUGUGGGUCCCGCCCCAGAUCUCCCCACAAAUCCCAGCCCCACAUCUGUGCCCCACAUCACCCCCCAGAUCCCAGCCCCACAUAUGUGGGUCCUGCCCCACAUCUCUGUGUCCCACAUCUCCCCACAGAUCCCAGCCCCACAUCUGUGGGUCUGCCCCACAUCUAUGGGUCCCAAAUCACCCCAUAGAUCCCAGCCCCACAUCUGUGCCCCACACCACCCCAUAGACCCCACAUCUAUGGGUCCCAGCCCAAAUCUAUGGGUCCCAAAUCACCCCACAGAUCCCAGCCCCACAUCUAUGGGUCCCACCCCCGCCCCAGAUCACAGCCCCACAUCUAUGGGUCCCCUCCCCCCACAGAUCCCAGCCCCACACCUAUGGGUCCCAGCCCCACAUCUAUGGGUCCCACCCCCGCCCCAGAUCGCAGCCCCACAUCUAUGGGUCCCAGCCCCACAUCUGUGCCCCACACCACCC
This 1428-nucleotide long non-coding RNA is filed under the name Phasianus colchicus (ring-necked pheasant). RNAcentral's name for it is "lncRNA (ENSPCLG00000019813.1)". The record is from RNAcentral. Lineage: Eukaryota; Metazoa; Chordata; Aves; Galliformes; Phasianidae.